UCUACGGGAGGCUGCAGUGGGGAAUAUUGCACAAUGGGGGAAACCCUGAUGCAGCGACGCCGCGUGGGCGAGGAAGUACCUCGGUAUGUAAAGCCCUAUCAGCAGGGAAGAAACAGGACAGUACCUGACUACGACGCCCCGGCUAACUACGUGCCACCAGCCGCGGUAAUACGUAGGGGGCACGCGUUAUCCGGAUUCACGGGGCGUAAAGGGAGCGCAGGCGGCAUGGCAAGUCUGAUGUGGAAACCCGGGGCCCAACCCCGGGAGUGCAUUGGAAACUGCCAGGCUGGAGUGUCGGAGGAGUAAGCGGAAUGCCUAGUGUAGCGGUGAAAUGCGUAGAUAUUAGGAGGAACACCAGUGGCGAAGGCGGCUUACUGGACGACUACUGACGCUGAGGCUCGAAAGCGUGGGGAGCGAACAGGAUUAGAUACCCUGGUAGUC
RNAcentral lists this ribosomal RNA (441 nucleotides) under uncultured bacterium. Its description in RNAcentral is "partial 16S ribosomal RNA". It matches the Rfam family "Bacterial small subunit ribosomal RNA", at positions 338 to 795 of the family's 1533-position model. The record is from RNAcentral.